GACGAACGCUGGCGGCGUGCUUAACACAUGCAAGUCGAACGGAAAGGCCCUGCUUUUGUGGGGUGCUCGAGUGGCGAACGGGUGAGUAACACGUGUGUAACCUGCCCUUGACUUUGGGGUAACUUCAGGAAACUGGGGCUCAUACCGGAUAGGAGCUCCUGCUGCAUGGGGUGGGUUGGAGAGUUUCGGCGGUUGGGGAUGGACUCGCGGCUUAUCAGCUUGUUGGUGGGGUAGUGGCUUACCAAGGCUUUGACGGGUAGCCGGACUGAGAGGGUGACCGGCCACAUUGGGACUGAGAUACGGCCCAGACUCCUACGGGAGGAAGCAGUGGGGAAUAUUGCACAAUGGGCGGAAGGCUGAUGCAGCAACGCCGCGUGCGGGAUGACGGCCUUCGGGUUGUAAACCGCUUGCGCCUGUGACGAAGCGUGAGUGACGGUAAUGGGUAGAGAAGCACCGGCUAACUACGUG
Molecule: ribosomal RNA, 468 nt
Filed under: uncultured bacterium
Lineage: Bacteria
Description: partial 16S ribosomal RNA
Rfam family: Bacterial small subunit ribosomal RNA
Source: RNAcentral